Long non-coding RNA from Ornithodoros turicata, 1029 nucleotides. RefSeq lists it as uncharacterized. Lineage: Eukaryota; Metazoa; Arthropoda; Arachnida; Ixodida; Argasidae. The transcript is spliced from 2 exons. The record is from RefSeq and is a predicted model, not a curated record.
GAGGUUCCUUUUCCAGUAGAGAAUGCCCUGGGCCUCCGGGAUGGCAGUACCCAGCCUCCUUAUUCAAGGUACGCUGAGGACCUCCAGAGCCGACUGGACGUCGCAGCUCGGACGGCUCGGGAGAACUUGGACGUCGCAAGGUUGGACCAGGCUCGCCAGUACAACCGUGGACGACGGAAUCUCACCUACAGCGUCGGUGAUCUUGUCCUUCGACGGACUCACCCGCUUAGUGAUGCGUCACGUGGCUUUGCAGCUUCGCUCGCAGAUAGGUGGGAUGGCCCCUUCGAGCGGCCAUGCCUCCCCAAAGAAAGCGUAGUCGCGGGCCUGGACGCUCUCCAGGAUCUAGUUCAUCUACCGCCCGGCCUCAGGUACCGAGCCGAUCCGAGCCACCAACUCACCGGUCAGUGGCUACAUGGACCGUCGUAGCGGGAGACAGACCGGUAUCAUGGGCCUCCCGCUCUCGCUGGACCUCUCAACCGCGCCCGCUUCGCACCGACGACCCGGCGAAAGUGCCUCAACCUUUCAGAGGUCUGUUGUUGACAGACCGACACCUCAAUGACCCCCCGAUUCCGCUGACUGCGGAGGAAAAGAGACUUCUGUGUCCUCUGUGUCAAGUCCCUGAGCUGCACCGUCGAACACAUCGACAAGGACCGCUUCACCGAGCUAGGCAACAGUCCAACAGCGGGGACGUGGCCUCAGCGCUAGAGACAUUGAGGAGGCACAGGCCCGACCUCUUAAGGCCUUCCUCCCCACCGAACCCUGGGGACGACGUGGUCCUGGAGUUCGAUGACGACGACCUCUAAACAUUCUAAAGUUUUCGGUUGUCAAACUGGGUUCGACGUUUUGCGGUGGGGGAAGUGUGGGGCGAAGUAGAGGAAGAAGUUUGGACGUUGCGGGACGACGAGGAAGUGAGAGACUUGGGGGUAAAAGGAGAACGACGAGGGGUUUGUGUGGUCAGUGUGGACGUGGAAGCGGAGAAGAAAAGACGCUGUAAGAUGUAAGUCAUUAAAACAGUGGUUGUUGAGUAUA